GUGGGGAAUAUUGGACAAUGGGCGCAAGCCUGAUCCAGCAAUGCCGCGUGGGUGAAGAAGGUCUUCGGAUCGUAAAGCCCUUUCGACAGGGACGAUGAUGACGGUACCUGUAGAAGAAGCCCCGGCUAACUUCGUGCCAGCAGCCGCGGUAAUACGAAGGGGACUAGCGUUACUCGGAAUUACUGGGCGUAAAGGGCGCGUAGGCGGCUCUGUUAGUCGGGCGUGAAAUUCCUGGGCUGAACCUGGGGACUGCGCUUGAUACUGCAGGGCUUGAGGCCGAGAGAGGGUGGUGGAAUUCCCAGUGUAGAGGUGAAAUUCGUAGAUAUUGGGAAGAACACCGGUGGCGAAGGCGACCACCUGGCUCGGUUCUGACGCUGAGGCGCGACAGCGUGGGGAGCAAACAGGAUUAGAAACCCGGGUAGUCC
RNAcentral lists this ribosomal RNA (425 nucleotides) under uncultured bacterium. RNAcentral describes it as "partial 16S ribosomal RNA". It matches the Rfam family "Bacterial small subunit ribosomal RNA", at positions 354 to 796 of the family's 1533-position model. The record is from RNAcentral.